This 366-nucleotide ribosomal RNA is filed under the name Clostridioides difficile. RNAcentral's name for it is "bacterial LSU rRNA". It matches the Rfam family "Bacterial large subunit ribosomal RNA", at positions 2318 to 2683 of the family's 2925-position model. The record is from RNAcentral. Lineage: Bacteria; Bacillati; Bacillota; Clostridia; Peptostreptococcales; Peptostreptococcaceae.
UCUCUCAGUACGGUCGGAAAUCGUACGUAGAGUGUAAAGGCAAAAGAGAGCUUGAUUGCAAGACAUACAGGUCGAGCAAGGAUGAAAAUCGGACUUAGUGAUCCGGUGGUUCUGCGGGGAAGGGCCAUCGCUCAACGGAUAAAAGCUACCCUGGGGAUAACAGGCUUAUCUCCCCCAAGAGUCCACAUCGACGGGGAGGUUUGGCACCUCGAUGUCGGCUCAUCACAUCCUGGGGCUGUAGUAGGUCCCAAGGGUUGGGCUGUUCGCCCAUUAAAGUGGUACGCGAGCUGGGUUCAGAACGUCGUGAGACAGUUCGGUCCCUAUCCGUCGCAGGCGUAGGAAAUUUGAGAAGACCUGUCCUUAGUA